CUCUCCCUCUUUCUUCCUGCUUAACACAUGCAAGUCGAGCGGGCACUUUCGGGUGUCAGCGGCGGACGGGUGAGUAACGCGUGGGAACGUGCCCUCUGGUUCGGAAUAACUCAGGGAAACUUGAGCUAAUACCGGAUACGCCCUUUUGGGGAAAGGCUUGCUGCCGGAGGAUCGGCCCGCGUCUGAUUAGCUAGUUGGUGAGGUAACGGCUCACCAAGGCGACGAUCAGUAGCUGGUCUGAGAGGAUGAUCAGCCACACUGGGACUGAGACACGGCCCAGACUCCUACGGGAGGCAGCAGUGGGGAAUAUUGGACAAUGGGCGCAAGCCUGAUCCAGCCAUGCCGCGUGAGUGAUGAAGGCCUUAGGGUUGUAAAGCUCUUUUAUCCGGGACGAUAAUGACGGUACCGGAGGAAUAAGCCCCGGCUAACUUCGUG
RNAcentral lists this ribosomal RNA (435 nucleotides) under uncultured bacterium. Its description in RNAcentral is "partial 16S ribosomal RNA". It matches the Rfam family "Bacterial small subunit ribosomal RNA", at positions 36 to 507 of the family's 1533-position model. The record is from RNAcentral.